Molecule: unclassified non-coding RNA, 161 nt
Filed under: soil metagenome
Description: partial internal transcribed spacer 1
Source: RNAcentral
CUGAGUUGCAAAACUCCCAAACCACUGUGAACAUACCACUGUUGCUUCGGCGGUCCGCCCCGGGUGCGUCCUCGCGACGUGUCCCGGGCCCAGGCGGCCGCCGGGGGCAUCGAAUCUCUGUCUUUACAGCGGGCUUCUGAGUACUUUAAACAAAUAAAUCA